CCUGGGCACGGUGAUGCAUGCCUGUAAUCCCAGCAGCUCAGGAGGCUGAGGCAGGAGGAUUGUGAGUUCAAAGCCAGCCUCAGCAAUGGCAAGGCACUAAGCAACUCAGUGAGACCCUGUCUCUA
RNAcentral lists this small RNA (125 nucleotides) under Marmota monax (woodchuck). The record is from RNAcentral. Lineage: Eukaryota; Metazoa; Chordata; Mammalia; Rodentia; Sciuridae.